UCCCGGAAAGGGGGCGGGGUCCUUAGGGGGGGUCUGGCCCGCCCCUCCCCACAAAAAGACCUAGCCGGUGGCGGCGUCUCCUGGGAGUCCGCUUCCUGCCCCGCCCCUCCGCCCCCUGGAUCCUUAAAGGCGCAGGCCUCCAGCCUGGCUCCCAUUGCUGCCAACUCUUAGGCCGCUGUCGGAGGAUCCCCUUUAACCUGCGAGAGAACUUUCACUUUGCUAAAUUGAACCUGUGUCUGGGUCAGUUCCGACGAGCUCCUUUCUCUGUUUCAAAUGUGCAUUGACUUCACCCAGCUGGAGCAAAGCCUGGGACGUGGAGCGGGGUCCGUGGGGCCUUCCAGACUAGGUAAAUGUAGUGACUGAGACUCACCCACACGGUAAACAGCGUCUCAGGACCCCUCCAGCAACCCAAUAACUCGUCCUCCAAUCUGUGGCCAGCUUCCCCUAUCAGUCACCUCUUGGUAUGAGGCGGCGGGAGAGACCUGGACUACGAGUCUUCACUUCUGGGUUCUCGUCCUAGCUUGAUGACACCUCCUGCCUGGCGUUCUCACACAGAUCGUACCAUAAUUGACUGACUGGAAAAUAGACUCAUGGAUCUGACAUCACCACCAUAAACUAAUGCUUGGAUGAUUCAAGCUGUCAGAGCCCUGGGACUUGAGACUUCCAGAAAAAUUCCAGCCCCAAAGCAGAAGACUUCUGUGGAGAAAGAUGCUAAGCCACAAACAGUUCAGCAUCUGAUCUAGGAACAGAUUCUAGGGACAAGGGAAAGCAAGCAAAGAACAUGAAGGUCUAUUUUGAACAGCACAAGCUCAAGGCAACCAUGACUUGAAGCAGGGGGGCCAGCCAUACUCCUCAAGGACCAUGGAAGCAGCCCUCACUGGCAUUGAAUUCACAUCACUCAGGUCUAAACCUUCCUGGAUCCUGGAGAAUUCUCUGCACAGAGCCAUGGAUUUCUCUCUCCAGCCUACGGGCUUUGGAUUUAUUUCUGACUUGGGAAAUCCCCAUCCUGCCUUCUGCUUUCAGCCCAGGCCCUGGCUUGGGUAAAACACAACGAGGAAGCAGGUGACAUCUCAGGACAGAAGGGGCCAGGUCAGGGAAGUGCCUUCCAGGGAUUCACACCAGAGCUGGAGACAUGGUUGGGAUGUUAUGUUAGAGAAAAUGAAAGCUGGGAGAGCGGGAGGGACCUGCCUCGGGUCUCCAGAAAGUCAGUAAUAGAGCCAAGGUAAGUCCCAGGAUGCCUGGCUCUCAUCACAUCCACUCUAUCUCAGGGCCACCAAAGCCGUACCCCAUCAGAGUCCCCCUAACGUUCCUUCUCAUCUCUCUCUCUACCCCGAGACACUUAGUUCUGCCCAAAAAGAUUCUCAGUGCUCUCCAAAUACAUCAUCUGCUUUUAACUCCGUGCCUUUGCACACAACACGCCUUUUUGUGCAUCCCCUUCUCCCACUUGUCUACCAGGUAAACCCCUACUCAUCCCUCAAGGCCUGUUCAAGUAAAUGUUUCCCUCCUUCAAACAAAGUCUAAACUCAGUUUAUCCAGAAUCCAUUCAUCCCUCUUUCCUCUGUGUUCUUAUAACACUCUCUGUAUACACUGAUUUUAAUAUUUACUACCCUCUUCUAUAAUUGUCUAUAACUGUCUUAGUCCUCACUAGACUGUAUUCUCCUCUAGGAUAGGGAUUAUUUCUGCUUCAUCUCUCUGUCCCCAGGGCCUAUCAAGGUGUCUGGCACUCAAUAAAUGUCGACCAAAUAGUGGAACAGAUGAAGGAAUAUGAGGCCAAUUUUUAACCUUUUUAAAUUUUAUAUUUUUAAGGAAUAUGAGUCUUUAUUUAUUUAUUUAUUUAUUUGGCCAUUCCAUGCAGCUUGCAGGAUCUUAGUUCCCCAACCAGGGAUUGAACCCGUGCCCUUGGCAGUGAAAGCAUGGAGUCCUACCACUGGACCACCAGGAAAUUCCCUCAGAGUCUUAGUUUAUUAUCCUUGAAAUGAAAGGAAAAAAAACCUCAAGCACUUGGUAAGGAUAAGUGGUGGAUAAUGAAUGUGGCACCAUCACUGACUCAGUUGCCUGAGCCAAAAAUAGGGUAUCACCCCAAAUUUCCACUUAUCCCUCUUCCUUUUCCCCUUCCCCUGUCACCAUGGCUUUUUUUUUUUAAAUUAAUUUAUUUUAUUUUUGGCUGCAUUGGGUCUUCGUUGCU
This is a long non-coding RNA of Delphinapterus leucas (beluga whale), 2185 nucleotides long. RefSeq lists it as uncharacterized. The record is from RefSeq and is a predicted model, not a curated record. NCBI's taxonomy places the organism in Eukaryota, Metazoa, Chordata, Mammalia, Artiodactyla, Monodontidae.